RNAcentral lists this ribosomal RNA (446 nucleotides) under uncultured bacterium. Its description in RNAcentral is "partial 16S ribosomal RNA". It matches the Rfam family "Bacterial small subunit ribosomal RNA", at positions 338 to 795 of the family's 1533-position model. The record is from RNAcentral.
CCUACGGGUGGCAGCAGUCGAGAAUCAUUCACAAUGGGGGAAACCCUGAUGGUGCGACGCCGCGUGGGGGAAUGAAGGUCUUCGGAUGGUAAACCCCUGUCAUGUGGGAGCAAAUUAAAAAGAUAGUACCACAAGAGGAAGAGACGGCUAACUCUGUGCCAGCAGCCGCGGUAAUACAGAGGUCUCAAGCGGUGUUCGGAAUCACUGGGCGUAAAGCGUGCGUAGGCUGUUUCGUAAGUCGUGUGUGAAAGGCGCGGGCUCAACCCGCGGGCGGCACAUGAUACUGCGAGACUAGAGUAAUGGAGGGGGAACCGGAAUUCUCGGUGUAGCAGUGAAAUGCGUAGAUAUCGGGAGGAACACUCGUGGCGAAGGCGGGUUCCUGGACAUUAACUGACGCUGAGGCACGAAGGCCAGGGGAGCGAAAGGGAUUAGAUACCCUUGUAGUC